CUUCGGUAACAUGGGGUCCCCCACUGUCUCCUUGGCAUGAAUCUUUACCUCCCUCAUGGUAGCCAGCACAGAACAUGUGACUGUAGAUGCUGAACUUUGGUGGAUCGAAGACACGUGGCUCGGUCAACAAGUGGAACUUUCAGCCUCAGAAGAAUUUUCAUAGUUCGUAUUGGAAAAAAUAGUCUCAGCACGGGUGAGCUUCUUAGAAAUAUGUGAGACAGAGACUCGUCCACAGGGAAAUGGCACUAGACAAAUGGAAAAAAAAAUUAGUACUCUAGUAUUUCUCAUUGGCUAGCAGACAAAAGUCUGGCCCAUCCUUGUCAUGUCUGAGAAGCAAGCCCAUUGAUAGUUUUUAAAAAAUUGAAUCAAUGAAUAUAGUCUCAAACUAAGAGGUUAAUUGCAUUAUUUCCAUGGAAAAGUUUUCAAACGCUUCAUGAAAAGGCCAUUUGGCUCAGGAAUCUGUCAUCUUUACAGAAACAGAAGAGGUGUUCCCAAAUCAAAUUUCCUAAGACUUUAUCUUCCCUGGUGGCUCAGACAGAAAAGUGUCUGCCUACAAUGCGGGAGACCCGGGUUCAAUCCCUGAGUUGGGAAGAUGUCCUGGAGAAGGAAAUGGCAACCCACUCCAGUAUUCUUGCCUGGAAAAUCCCAUGGAUGGAAGAGCCUGGUAGGCUACAGUCCAUGGGGUCACAAAGAAUCAGACACGACUGAGAGACUUCACUUUCACUUAUAUGAAGUCCAAUGACUUCCUGUUUCUUUAUGAAAAAGUUUUGUUUCCAGGUACUGUCCUUGAAUGGAAGUCUGGGGAUUGGUGCCAUAUAACCUUGAUUUUAGAAUUUGGUAAAUGGGAUGUCUACUCCUUAUUGUUAACAAGAUUUCAUUUUUGAGGCCACACUGCAUGGCUUUUGGGAUUUUAGUUUCCUAACCAGGGAUCAAACCCAGGCCUCUGGCAGUGAGAAUGCAGAGUCCUGCGCACUGGACUGCCGGGAAUUUCCAGGACUUCUUUUGUAGACCAAAAUGCCUUCAAAAAAUCCAUUGGGGAGAGGUCAUUGUGAUUUAAUUACCUGGCUGUUGAGUAUUAACUAAAUAAAUUAUUAAUAUGAUUAUAACCACCACAUCUACCUGGGCACUGGCUACCUUUUACCUUGGGUUGGUUUAUUUCCUAAAGAAAAGAAGUCAUCUACUGAUACACUGGGGACAAGCAGAAUGGAAAUUUGUAGUCAAGCAAAAUCACUUCACAUUUCAUUUCUCACUUUCCUUUUAUCCACAUUCCUUAUAACAGACAUUUCUAUAGCAACCAGCUGUGGCAAAGUAUCAUGAAGACAGCAUGUGGUUGGGAAAACAGGAAAUUAGUUCAAAAUACUUAUGUAUAAAUAUAAAUCAUCAACAUUGGCUCAAGAAAAGGGACCAUUACUAUUGAAAGGCAGAAAAGUUUAUUUUAGGUUUGGCUUAUUUAUUCUGCUAAAACUAAGGCUAUAUUCAGAAUAACACUUAAUAGUUGGAGGUGGUUCUCUGUUUUUUCUCUUUCUUAUAACAGAAAAGGACUUAAAACGAUUUAGCUACUAUGCUGUCUGUCUACACUGGAAGUUAGGUUUCAAAGGUAAAAACAGAUACACACAUACUUCUCCCUAGGUAGGCUAGUUUGAAGCUGUGUAUGUCAAGAACAGGUAGAAGGAUGGGAGACAGGCAGGUCUUUGAAGCAGUAGACUCUUUAUUUUAGUGCAGUCUAUAUACUCUUGUCUUCUGGUUCUUUCUUUAAUCUCCUCUGCCAGGUUCAUUGCUAAGAUAGGUAUCAAACCCAGUUACAGAGGAAUGGUGUGUGAUUUAAUGUAUCAAUUUAAUAAGCUAUCAGGCUUUGGAAAUGCAAAAGAAAUUAUAUCUAGUUUGCUUCAAAAAAGCCCUUCAUUUAUCAAAUAUAAUUGAUCCUGUGGAGCCUACAUCAAAAAAAAAAAAAAAAAAAAUCCAAGUUUCUGCUGCCCUCAUUUCCAGAGAAGAGCAGUGUGAAGAGUGGACAUGAUCUCCACACACCAGUCAGCUGUCAAUAUGGUGGCAUGGUUGACAUAACUGGGAAACAUUGCUUUGUCCACUGCUGUAUAGAUUGACUGUGCUGAUCAGCUUGACACAACUCAGAACAGAUAGUUGUCAGAACUAUUCUGAUGCCAAGCGUGUAAACUCAGGCUGAGAAUGAAGGAUAGAAAAUAACUUUCUCAGUGUAAACCAGCCAUGCUAGGACAGAUCAUGCUUAAAAUUCACCAGCCUUGUACUAGAAGCCUAUCAGUCAAGCACAUAUGUAUCUUCUAUUUUUUUAUUACAGGAUUACUACAUUAAUUUGACUUCAUGAAUUAUAGAUAUACAUGCAGAAAUCACACAAAUCAAUUGCUUCAUGAUAUAAAGGUCAAAGAAGAAAAUUGGGUGCAGAAAAGAAGAUGGAAGACAAUUACAGAAUUUCUAUUAAAAAUGAUGGUGCAAUUUGAAAAAUUAAUUUGCCCAUGCUACUAGUCUUUUC
Molecule: long non-coding RNA, 2503 nt
Organism: Bos taurus (domestic cattle)
Lineage: Eukaryota; Metazoa; Chordata; Mammalia; Artiodactyla; Bovidae
Source: Ensembl